GCAGUCGACGCGAGAGAGUUCAUCCUGGCUCCGGCCAGAGGAUGGCGCCGAAGGGGCAACUCCCCGGAACCUCUCAGGCACCCGGACCGCGUAUCGACC
RNAcentral lists this non-coding RNA (99 nucleotides) under Microlunatus soli. Its description in RNAcentral is "Glycine sequence". It matches the Rfam family "Glycine riboswitch aptamer". Rfam says of the family: This family represents the bacterial glycine riboswitch. Glycine riboswitches usually consist of two metabolite-binding aptamers domains with similar structures in tandem. Lineage: Bacteria; Bacillati; Actinomycetota; Actinomycetes; Propionibacteriales; Propionibacteriaceae. The record is from Rfam by way of RNAcentral.